CUUACUGUAGAACCUGUACACAGCAUUUUACUGUAGAUCUGCAAAGGAUCAUGGUCAAGAUUCAGUGGUGGGCGAAUUCUACAGUAAGCAUAUUUCUGCUGUGAAUCACAAUACGUUACGUGAGGCAUGUCUAAGUAGCCUACUGAAGUGGACUAAAGCAAAACAGAGCCCCAAAACAGUCCAGGGAAGAAAACUUCAGCCCAAGAUGUGGAUUCCAGCAAAUGUAAAACAAAGCACUUGCACAUUUUUGUUUUUGUUCAGAACAGCUGUGUUUAUAAAAAUAUGAAUUUAUUUAUUUAAUUA
Long non-coding RNA from Trichomycterus rosablanca, 303 nucleotides. RefSeq lists it as uncharacterized. The record is from RefSeq and is a predicted model, not a curated record. The transcript has 3 exons. Lineage: Eukaryota; Metazoa; Chordata; Actinopteri; Siluriformes; Trichomycteridae.